GUACAUGAUUCCAAGCGGCAAAAACAUGGCCACAAUAUAGAGGCGCAAAACCCUAACAACUCCAAUUCAAUGGCGGGGUCGAGGGGGCAGGGGGGNNNNNCGGAUUCCGGAGCUAAUGGGUCGGGUCAAAAGAGAGAAGUGAAUAGAGAAAAUAAAGAAGAGGAGAUUCAAGAGGAGCCCAGCGAAGACGAUCAUAACAACAACAACGAUAACGAUAUUAAUGAGAGCAAGGAUUUGGGUAUUGAGGCUUCGUUUGGGGAGAACGUUCUGGACAUUGAAGGUAGAGAGAGGAGCACUAGGGAAUCCACUCCAUGCAGUUUGAUAAGGGACCCAGAAACCAUAAUAACCCCUGGUUCGACUACUAGACCUGCCAGCUCAACUGAAACUAGCAGGAGAAUACAGAACUCCGUGCAUAGACACAUCCCAACUGCACAUGAAAUGGAUGAGUUCUUUGCUGGAGCUGAAGAAGAGCAGCAGAGACAAUUUAUUGAGAAG
RNAcentral lists this unclassified non-coding RNA (495 nucleotides) under Hevea brasiliensis (rubber tree). The record is from RNAcentral. Lineage: Eukaryota; Viridiplantae; Streptophyta; Magnoliopsida; Malpighiales; Euphorbiaceae.